UACGGGGGGAGCAAGCGUUGUUCGGAUUUACUGGCGUAAAGGGCGCGUAGGCGGCCAGCACAAGUCAGUUGUGAAAUCUCCGAGCUUAACUCGGAAAGGUCAACUGAUACUGUGCGGCUAGAGUGCGGAAGGGGCAACUGGAAUUCUUGGUGUGCGGUGAAAUGCGUAGAUAUCGUAAGGAAGACCAGUGGCGAAGGCGGGUCUCUGGACAGUUCCUGACGCUGAGGCACGAAGGUCAGGGGAGACAAACGGGG
This 254-nucleotide ribosomal RNA is filed under the name uncultured bacterium. RNAcentral's name for it is "partial 16S ribosomal RNA". It matches the Rfam family "Bacterial small subunit ribosomal RNA", at positions 524 to 777 of the family's 1533-position model. The record is from RNAcentral.